RNAcentral lists this ribosomal RNA (254 nucleotides) under uncultured bacterium. RNAcentral's name for it is "partial 16S ribosomal RNA". It matches the Rfam family "Bacterial small subunit ribosomal RNA", at positions 524 to 776 of the family's 1533-position model. The record is from RNAcentral.
UACGUAGGGGGCGAGCGUUGUCCGAAUUUACUGGGCGUAAAGCGCGCGUAGGCGGUUUCUUAAGUCUGGGGUGAAAGGUUCAACGCUCAACGUGAACAGUGCCUUGGAUACUGGGAGACUUGAGUCUGGGAGGGGGUAGUGGAAUUCCUGGUGUAGCGGUGAAAUGCGUAGAUAUCAGGAGGAACACCAAUAGCGAAGGCAGCUCGCUGGGACGUUACUGACACUGAGGCGCGAAAGCGUGGGGAGCGAACAGG